GGAUCCAAUCCUCACUCUGACCUGUAAAAGCAAGUGAACCCAAGACUUGUAAUAAAAAUAUUAACCAUAGCUGAUGCUGCUUUUUAGUACCAUAGCACCAGAUUACAGGAUAAUAAAUGCAAAUCAGAGCAACCUCAACAAUUUGCCAUGCAAAUCACAUAUUAGAUUUCCCAAAUUCUUGCCUAUGAUAUUCUUGAUGAUGUUGUGGAUAGAAUUUUAAAGAACUUUGAACCAAUCAGCCAUGACCAACCAUCUCAGUUUUGUAUAAUUCAACUGCACCAAUCUGCAGUGCCUCUACUUGUUUGCAUCUAAUAGCUAUGUGAUACAGGUGAUUAUGUAGGUGCAUAUAUCACUACUGCAAAAUCAGUCAAUUUUGAUUUCUUCUUUUGUUUUGUUCAUUCAAGGCUCUUUGGACUCCUGUUUGGACGCUUUCACCAACCAGCUCUGGAGCCCAACAUAGGCCUUCUUUUUAGGCGAACUAAACUAGCCGGAGAGACUGUCAUUUGAAAUAUUGCAAGUUGAAGACAAAUAUUUACUGAAUUUACAAACCUGAGCAUCAUCUUGAAUCCUU
Molecule: unclassified non-coding RNA, 571 nt
Filed under: Hevea brasiliensis (rubber tree)
Lineage: Eukaryota; Viridiplantae; Streptophyta; Magnoliopsida; Malpighiales; Euphorbiaceae
Source: RNAcentral